GAUGAAGUACGCAGCGAAAUGCGAUAAGUAAUGCGAAUUGCAGAAUUCAGUGAAUCAUCGAAUCUUUGAACGCACAUUGCGCACGCUAGUAUUCUGGCGGGCAUGCCUGUCUGAGCGUCAUUUCAACCCUCGCCCCCGGCUUUUGCUGGGAGCGGUGUUGGGGAUCGGCCGCCCGUCACUGGGAGGCCGGCCCCGAAAUAGAGUGGCGACCACGCCGUGUGCUCCUCUGCGUAGUAGUAAAUCACCUCGCAGGCGGACAGCGGUGCGGCCUGCCGUAAAACCCCCAACUCUUUCUGGUUGACCUCAGAUCAGGUAGGAAUACCCGCUGAACUUAAGCAUAUCAAUAAGCGGAGGA
RNAcentral lists this unclassified non-coding RNA (355 nucleotides) under soil metagenome. RNAcentral's name for it is "partial contains 5.8S ribosomal RNA, internal transcribed spacer 2, and large subunit ribosomal RNA". The stretch from base 1 to 120 matches the Rfam family "5.8S ribosomal RNA", at positions 35 to 154 of the family's 154-position model. The record is from RNAcentral.